RNAcentral lists this non-coding RNA (30 nucleotides) under Mus musculus (house mouse). The record is from RNAcentral. Lineage: Eukaryota; Metazoa; Chordata; Mammalia; Rodentia; Muridae.
UGGUGAUCCUAGUUCUUUACUGAAAAUGUC